This 440-nucleotide ribosomal RNA is filed under the name uncultured bacterium. RNAcentral's name for it is "partial 16S ribosomal RNA". It matches the Rfam family "Bacterial small subunit ribosomal RNA", at positions 338 to 795 of the family's 1533-position model. The record is from RNAcentral.
CCUACGGGAGGCGGCAGUAGGGAAUAUUGCUCAAUGGGGGAAACCCUGAAGCAGCAACGCCGCGUGGAGGAUGAAGGUUUUCGGAUUGUAAACUCCUUUUGUUAGAGAAGAUAAUGACGGUAUCUAACGAAUAAGCACCGGCUAACUCCGUGCCAGCAGCCGCGGUAAUACGGAGGGUGCAAGCGUUACUCGGAAUCACUGGGCGUAAAGAGCGCGUAGGCGGGAUAGCAAGUCAGAUGUGAAAUCCUAUGGCUUAACCAUAGAACUGCAUUUGAAACUGUUAUUCUAGAGUAUGGGAGGGGUAGGUGGAAUUCUUGGUGUAGGGGUAAAAUCCGUAGAGAUCAAGAGGAAUACUCAUUGCGAAGGCGACCUACUAGAACAUAACUGACGCUGAUGCGCGAAAGCGUGGGGAGCAAACAGGAUUAGAUACCCGUGUAGUC